UACGUAGGGUGCGAGCGUUGUCCGGAAUUAUUGGGCGUAAAGAGCUUGUAGGCGGUUUGUCGCGUCUGCUGUGAAAAUCCGGGGCUCAACCCCGGACUUGCAGUGGGUACGGGCAGACUAGAGUGUGGUAGGGGAGACUGGAAUUCCUGGUGUAGCGGUGAAAUGCGCAGAUAUCAGGAGGAACACCGAUGGCGAAGGCAGGUCUCUGGGCCACUACUGACGCUCAGGCACGAAAGCGUGGGGAGCAAACAGGAUUAGAUACCCGU
This 266-nucleotide ribosomal RNA is filed under the name uncultured prokaryote. RNAcentral describes it as "partial 16S ribosomal RNA". It matches the Rfam family "Bacterial small subunit ribosomal RNA", at positions 524 to 789 of the family's 1533-position model. The record is from RNAcentral.